CACCGCUAGCCAGCACCUCGCCUAAAUAGGUGUGCGUUUCUUUUUCUUCUAGCUAGUGUGGCUUACCACUUUGCGACUGAGCCGUUGUUGCUCCUAGACGUUUCCACUUCACAAUAACAGCACUUACAGUUGACAGGGGCAGCUCUUGCUGGGCAGAAAUUUGAUUAACUAAAUUGUUGGAAAGGUGGUAUCCUAUGACGGUGCCACGUUGAACGUCACUGAGCUCCUCAGUAAGGCCUUUCUACUUCCAAUGUUUGUCUAUGGAGAUUGCAUGGCUGUGUGCUCGAUUUUAUAUACCUGUCAGCAACGGGUGUGGCUGAAAUAGCCAAUCCACUAGUUUGAAGGGGUGUCCACACAAACACUAUAUAUGGAUGACCGAUAGCACACCUAGCUACAUGUUCAAAUGACAGUGUCCAUUGUUGGGCAAAUCAGAUGUCAACCUCACUCCGAAACGUACAUUCACAUACAGCUGGUGUAAGAAAAAGGAGCUACUUUUCAACUAGUCAAUGUAUAAGUAGUAUAAGCAUGGUACACAGAGGUAACCAGGGUACACAGAGGUAACUAGGGUACACAGAGGUAACUAGGGUACACAGAGGUAACUAGGGUAGACAGAGGUAACUAGGGUAGACAGAGGUAACUAGGGUAGACAGAGGUAACUAGGGUAGACAGAGGUAACUAGGGUAGACAGAGGUAACUAGGGUACACAGAGGUAACUAGGGUACACAGAGGUAACUAGGGUAUACAGAGGUAACCAGGGUACACAGAGGUAACCAGGAUACACAGAGGUAACUAGGGUAGACAGAGGUAACUAGGGUACACAGAGGUAACCAGGAUA
Long non-coding RNA from Oncorhynchus tshawytscha (Chinook salmon), 835 nucleotides. Lineage: Eukaryota; Metazoa; Chordata; Actinopteri; Salmoniformes; Salmonidae. The record is from Ensembl.